GACGAACCGUGCGAACGUUGUUCGGAAUCACUGGGCUUAAAGGGCGCGUAGGCGGGGUCGUCAGUCUAUGGUGAAAUCCUCUGGCUCAACCAGAGAACAGCCGUGGAUACUGCGACUCUCGAGGGGUGUAGGGGUAUGUGGAACUCAGGGUGGAGCGGUGAAAUGCGUAGAUAUCCUGAGGAACGCCGGUGGCGAAAGCGGCGUACUGGACACCUUCUGACGCUGAGGCGCGAAAGCCAGGGGAGCAAACGGG
Molecule: ribosomal RNA, 253 nt
Filed under: uncultured bacterium
Lineage: Bacteria
Description: partial 16S ribosomal RNA
Rfam family: Bacterial small subunit ribosomal RNA
Source: RNAcentral